GACGAACGCUGGCGGCGUGCCUAAUACAUGCAAGUAGAACGCUGAAGGAGGAGCUUGCUUCUCUGGAUGAGUUGCGAACGGGUGAGUAACGCGUAGGUAACCUGCCUGGUAGCGGGGGAUAACUAUUGGAAACGAUAGCUAAUACCGCAUAAUAGUAGAUGUCGCAUGACAUUUGCUUAAAAGGUGCAAUUGCAUCACUACCAGAUGGACCUGCGUUGUAUUAGCUAGUUGGUGAGGUAACGGCUCACCAAGGCAACGAUACAUAGCCGACCUGAGAGGGUGAUCGGCCACACUGGGACUGAGACACGGCCCAGACUCCUACGGGAGGCAGCAGUAGGGAAUCUUCGGCAAUGGACGGAAGUCUGAACGAGCAACGCCGCGUGAGUGAAGAAGGGUUUCGGAUCGUAAAGCUCUGUUGUAAGAGAAGAACGAGUGUGAGAGUGGAAAGUUCACACUGUGACGGUAUCUUACCAGAAAGGGACGGCUAACUACGUG
Molecule: ribosomal RNA, 495 nt
Filed under: uncultured bacterium
Lineage: Bacteria
Description: partial 16S ribosomal RNA
Rfam family: Bacterial small subunit ribosomal RNA
Source: RNAcentral